Molecule: ribosomal RNA, 279 nt
Filed under: uncultured bacterium
Lineage: Bacteria
Description: partial 16S ribosomal RNA
Rfam family: Bacterial small subunit ribosomal RNA
Source: RNAcentral
UGCCAGCAGCCGCGGUAAUACGUAGGGGGCAAGCGUUGUCCGGAAUCACUGGGCGUAAAGAGCAUGUAGGCGGAUGCUUAAGUCAGAUGUGAAAACUAUGGGCUCAACCUGUAGACUGCAUCUGAUACUGAACAUCUUGAGUAUGAGAGAGGAAAGUGGAAUUCCUAGUGUAGCGGUGAAAUGCGUAGAUAUUAGGAGGAACACCAGUGGCGAAGGCGACUUUCUGGCUCAUAACUGACGCUGAGAUGCGAAAGCGUGGGGAGCAAACAGGAUUAGAUA